RNAcentral lists this ribosomal RNA (738 nucleotides) under Kocuria sp. CH39a. RNAcentral describes it as "bacterial SSU rRNA". It matches the Rfam family "Bacterial small subunit ribosomal RNA", at positions 55 to 803 of the family's 1533-position model. Lineage: Bacteria; Bacillati; Actinomycetota; Actinomycetes; Micrococcales; Micrococcaceae. The record is from RNAcentral.
AUGCAAGUCGAACGCUGAAGCACAGCUUGCUGGUGUGGAUGAGUGGCGAACCGGUGAGUAAUACGUGAGUAACCUGCCCUUGACUCUGGGAUAACCCCGGGAAACUGGGUCUAAUACUGGAUGCUACAUGUCACCGCAUGGUGGUGUGUGGAAAGGGUUUACUGGUCUUGGAUGGGCUCACGGCCUAUCAGCUUGUUGGUGAGGUAAUGGCUCACCAAGGCGACGACGGGUAGCCGGCCUGAGAGGGUGACCGGCCACACUGGGACUGAGACACGGCCCAGACUCCUACGGGAGGCAGCAGUGGGGAAUAUUGCACAAUGGGCGAAAGCCUGAUGCAGCGACGCCGCGUGAGGGAUGACGGCCUUCGGGUUGUAAACCUCUUUCAGCAGGGAAGAAGCCACAAGUGACGGUACCUGCAGAAGAAGCGCCGGCUAACUACGUGCCAGCAGCCGCGGUAAUACGUAGGGCGCAAGCGUUGUCCGGAAUUAUUGGGCGUAAAGAGCUCGUAGGCGGUUUGUCGCGUCUGCUGUGAAAGCCCGGGGCUUAACCCCGGGUGUGCAGUGGGUACGGGCAGACUAGAGUGCAGUAGGGGAGACUGGAAUUCCUGGUGUAGCGGUGGAAUGCGCAGAUAUCAGGAGGAACACCGAUGGCGAAGGCAGGUCUCUGGGCUGUUACUGACGCUGAGGAGCGAAAGCAUGGGGAGCGAACAGGAUUAGAUACCCUGGUAGUCCAUGCCGU